AAAUUGAAGAGUUUGAUCAUGGCUCAGAUUGAACGCUGGCGGCAGGCCUAACACAUGCAAGUCGAGCGGAAACGAGUUAUCAGAACCUUCGGGGAACGAUAACGGCGUCGAGCGGCGGACGGGUGAGUAAUGCCUAGGAAAUUGCCCUGAUGUGGGGGAUAACCAUUGGAAACGAUGGCUAAUACCGCAUGAUGCCUACGGGCCAAAGAGGGGG
Molecule: ribosomal RNA, 214 nt
Filed under: Vibrio parahaemolyticus
Lineage: Bacteria; Pseudomonadati; Pseudomonadota; Gammaproteobacteria; Vibrionales; Vibrionaceae
Description: partial 16S ribosomal RNA
Rfam family: Bacterial small subunit ribosomal RNA
Source: RNAcentral